This 497-nucleotide ribosomal RNA is filed under the name uncultured bacterium. Its description in RNAcentral is "partial 16S ribosomal RNA". It matches the Rfam family "Bacterial small subunit ribosomal RNA", at positions 28 to 507 of the family's 1533-position model. The record is from RNAcentral.
GACGAACGCUGGCGGCGUGCCUAAUACAUGCAAGUUAAGCGCUGAAGGUUGGUACUUGUACCAACUGGAUGAGCAGCGAACGGGUGAGUAACGCGUGGGGAAUCUGCCUUUGAGCGGGGGACAACAUUUGGAAACGAAUGCUAAUACCGCAUAAAAACUUUAAACACAAGUUUUAAGUUUGAAAGAUGCAAUUGCAUCACUCAAAGAUGAUCCCGCGUUGUAUUAGCUAGUUGGUGAGGUAAAGGCUCACCAAGGCGAUGAUACAUAGCCGACCUGAGAGGGUGAUCGGCCACAUUGGGACUGAGACACGGCCCAAACUCCUACGGGAGGCAGCAGUAGGGAAUCUUCGGCAAUGGACGAAAGUCUGACCGAGCAACGCCGCGUGAGUGAAGAAGGUUUUCGGAUCGUAAAACCCUGUUGGUAGAGAAGAACGUUGGUGAGAGUGGAAAGCUCAUCAAGUGACGGUAACUACCCAGAAAGGGACGGCUAACUACGUG